RNAcentral lists this ribosomal RNA (497 nucleotides) under uncultured bacterium. RNAcentral's name for it is "partial 16S ribosomal RNA". It matches the Rfam family "Bacterial small subunit ribosomal RNA", at positions 28 to 507 of the family's 1533-position model. The record is from RNAcentral.
GAUGAACGCUGGCGGCGUGCCUAAUACUUGCAAGUCGAGCGAACAGACGAGGAGCUUGCUCCUCUGACGUUAGCGGCGGACGGGUGAGUAACACGUGGAUAACCUACCUAUAAGACUGGGAUAACUUCGGGAAACCGGAGCUAAUACCGGAUAACAUGUUGAACCGCAUGGUUCAACAGUGAAAGACGGUCUUGCUGUCACUUAUAGAUGGAUCCGCGCCGCAUUAGCUAGUUGGUAAGGUAACGGCUUACCAAGGCAACGAUGCGUAGCCGACCUGAGAGGGUGAUCGGCCACACUGGAACUGAGACACGGUCCAGACUCCUACGGGAGGCAGCAGUAGGGAAUCUUCCGCAAUGGGCGAAAUCCUGACGGAGCAACGCCGCGUGAGUGAAGAAGGUCUUCGGAUCGUAAAACUCUGUUAUUAGGGAAGAACAAAUGUGUAAGUAACUAUGCACGUCUUGACGGUACCUAAUCAGAAAGCCACGGCUAACUACGUG